This is a long non-coding RNA of Xenopus tropicalis (tropical clawed frog), 2129 nucleotides long. RefSeq lists it as uncharacterized. The record is from RefSeq and is a predicted model, not a curated record. The transcript has 5 exons. NCBI's taxonomy places the organism in Eukaryota, Metazoa, Chordata, Amphibia, Anura, Pipidae.
AGACUCUUCUCUGUGAGAGGCCUUCUUGUAAUUUGGAGCUUUCUGCAUACCAGGUUUCCAGACACGAGCUGUGCUCUUAUAACUGUAAUUAUCUUUCAUCUUUAAUAUUGUAGGUUAGUGUAGGUUAAUUAUCUGAUGCAGACUACACAGAAUAUAAUGUGUGCUCUGUCACUGUCACUUCAACUGCCAUGGCUAUAGUAGUGGGUUUCUCAUUCAUGUGACUGGGGAGCUGCAGGCAGGGAAAGAGAUUAAACAUUCAUAUUUCAUCCAAAAUACUUGAUGUGCUAUCAGUUUUAGAGCUUGUAGCUGAACUAAUGUGAUUAGAAAGGUAAGCAAAGUUAGGUACAACCAAACUAGGGAUAUCUGUUAAAAAGUGCACCUAAAUAAUUUAUUAUACAUUAACAUUUUUCAUUCAUCUGUUUCUAUUCUGCAGCGUGUAUUUUCUUUGACAGAAAAGAGCUUGCUGGGAUUUCCAAUCCAUUAUGCCUGGCAGAGGAAUUUAGGAAAUUACAUUGCAGUUACAGGGGAUCAGAUGUCUUUCUUGCUGUGGUCAAAGGCUGGGUCAUUCUUAGCUGUUGGGACAUCCAAAGGAAGUUUGUUGAUUUAUAACUUCAGACCUCUCGCAAGGUGCCUGUGCUUGGUAAGCACAACAAACGGGUCACAUGUGGGUGCUGGAGCUCACAAAAUCUGCUAGCACUUGGUAGCGAGGACAAAAUGAUAACUGUUAGCAAUCAAGAAGGAGACACAAUUCGACAGACCUCUGUGAGGAUGGAUCCCAGUGAUACCCAGUUCUCAGCAGGCGAAAAGCACAGGGUCAUUUACAAAAUCCCUGGACAUGAAUGCUAAAGCACUAAGGGGCCCAAUUCAAGAAGCCUUCCCCAGCUCACCCCUUAUGACUACACAGCUGCCAGACACAAGUUUUUUUUGUAAAAGAACAUGUGAAAAAUUGGGUGGGGGGGCAACGGUGGCUUGCAUGAGUGUUUUAUACUUUGCACUCUGCUUGGCUAAUGACGCCUUAUUUCCCCCUUUCCCAUGUACCAUUGUCUUUCUCUUAACCAGCCCCUAUCAUGUUAUUGCUUCUUUUAUCUUAUCUGCACCUUCCACCCCCUUAUGGAUAUCUGCAAUAGGAUUAAAAAUUGGCCAAUUACAGGCCACUAGCUAUGACCACCUCUUCCCCCUGUGUGGAAAAUGGUGAAAAUAACGUGAAAAUGCGGAAAGAAUCUGAGUGUACAGUUGUUAGAUGCAGGAUGUAGUUUGUGAUGUCACUAGAGGGGUACCACUAGUGGCUUAGAUUGGCCAAAGAUGGAAAAUUGGCUGAUCACAGGCCGCUAGCUAUGCCCACCCCUAUCCCCCCCUCUGGUGACAUCACAGAUGAUGAUAACGUCUGGAGAAGGAAGGUUGUGCUGUGUGAAAAUGGUAAAAAUAAAGGGAAAAUGCUGAAAGAAUCUGUUAGAUGUAGGAUGUAGUUUGCGAUGUCACUAGAGGGGUACCGCUAGUGGCUUGGAUUGGCCAAAGAUGGAAAAUUGGCUGAUCACAGGCCACUAGCUUUGCCCACCCCUAUCCCCCCCUCUGGUGACAUCACAGAUGAUGAUAACGUCUGGAGAAGGAAGGUUGUGCUGUGUGAAAAUGGUAAAAAUAAAGGGAAAAUGCUGAAAGAAUCUGUUAGAUGUAGGAUGUAGUUUGAGAUGUCACUAGAGGGGUACCGCUAGUGGCUUGGAUUGGCCAAAGAUGGAAAAUUGGCUGAUCACAGGCCACUAGCUUUGCCCACCCCUAUCCCCCCCUCUGGUGACAUCACAGAUGAUAAGGUCUGGAAGAAGAAGGAUGUGUUGUGUGGAAAAUGGUGAAAAUAAAGGGAAAAUGCGGAAAGAAUCUGAGUCUACAGUUGUUAGAUGUAGUUUGUAAUUUCACUGGAAGGGUACUGCUAGUGACUUGGAUUGGCCUAAAGAUGGAAAAUUAGCCAAUCACUGGCCACAUCAGAGACGAUAAUAAGGUCUGAAGGAAGCACGUGUCUGCAGUUGUUAGAUGUAGGAUGUAGUUUGAUGUCACUAGAGGGGUACCGCUAGUGGCUUGGAUUGGCCUAUAGAUGGAAAAUUAGCCAAUCGCAGGCCACUAGCUAUGCCCGCCCCUAU